CCUANGGGGGGCAGCAGUGAGGAAUCUUCCGCAAUGGGCGAAAGCCUGACGGAGCGACACCGCGUGGAGGACGAAGGCCUUUUGGUUGUAAACUCCUUUUCUGGGGGAAUAAAUGAUGAAUGUACCCCAGGAAUAAGCACCGGCUAACUACGUACCAGCAGCCGCGGUAAUACGUAGGGUGCAAGCGUUAUCCGGAAUUAUUGGGCGUAAAGAGUUCGUAGGUGGUACACCAAGUUUGUAGUUAAAUAUGGUCGCUCAACGAUCAAAUCGCUACGAAAACUAGUGUGCUGGAGAGUGGCAGAGGUAACUGGAAUUCCACAGGUAGGAGUAAAAUCCGUUGAUAUGUGGAGGAACACCAAAAGCGAAGGCAGGUUACUGGGCCAUUUCUGACACUGAGGAACGAAAGCGUGGGGAGCAAACAGGAUUAGAUACCCGUNUAGUC
This 442-nucleotide ribosomal RNA is filed under the name uncultured bacterium. RNAcentral's name for it is "bacterial SSU rRNA". It matches the Rfam family "Bacterial small subunit ribosomal RNA", at positions 338 to 795 of the family's 1533-position model. The record is from RNAcentral.